AGCCUGAUGCAGCCAUGCCGCGUGUGUGAAGAAGGCCUUCGGGUUGUAAAGCACUUUCAGUCGUGAGGAAGGUAGUGGUGUUAAUAGCUGUAUCAUUUGACGUUAGCGACAGAAGAAGCACCGGCUAACUCCGUGCCAGCAGCCGCGGUAAUACGGAGGGUGCGAGCGUUAAUCGGAAUUACUGGGCGUAAAGCGCAUGCAGGUGGUUUGUUAAGUCAGAUGUGAAAGCCCGGGGCUCAACCUCGGAAUAGCAUUUGAAACUGGCAGACUAGAGUACUGUAGAGGGGGGUAGAAUUUCAGGUGUAGCGGUGAAAUGCGUAGAGAUCUGAAGGAAUACCGGUGGCGAAGGCGGCCCCCUGGACAGAUACUGACACUCAGAUGCGAAAGCGUGGGGAGCAAACAGGAUUAGAUACCCUGGUAGUCCACGCCGUAAACGAUGUCUACUUGGAGGUUGUGGCCUUGAGCCGUGGCUUUCGGAGCUAACGCGUUAAGUAGACCGCCUGG
Molecule: ribosomal RNA, 504 nt
Filed under: Vibrio sp. 8SW2S22
Lineage: Bacteria; Pseudomonadati; Pseudomonadota; Gammaproteobacteria; Vibrionales; Vibrionaceae
Description: bacterial SSU rRNA
Rfam family: Bacterial small subunit ribosomal RNA
Source: RNAcentral